RNAcentral lists this long non-coding RNA (612 nucleotides) under Homo sapiens (human). RNAcentral describes it as "HSALNT0182078". The record is from RNAcentral. Lineage: Eukaryota; Metazoa; Chordata; Mammalia; Primates; Hominidae.
GCAGGAACAGAGGUGGACUGGAAUGUCACACGACGGGGCAGCUGGAAGGGCACCACUGAGUUCAGUACUUCAAAAUUGCCGUGCUCUACCUCUCCCCAGUGCACAAAAACACUCUCCACACCAAGCUGCUGCUGCUGGGGGAUGGAGGGAUGGCGUCAGCGAUUCAAGACUGUUUUUCCUACCUGUUCAGCACUUCUUUCAGCGAUAUGAAGUUAAAUCCAGAUGUCGUCAUCAUCCACUUGUUCAAACAAGAGCCCAAGGAUCAUCCUAGAUUCCUUCUCACUUCCUCUCAAUCCAUCCCUGAAACAGCCAAACCACCAGUCUGGAGGCUGGAAAGUCCAAGGUCAAGGCAUCAGCAGAUUCAGUGCCUAGUGAGGGGUCUGUUCCUCAUUGAUGGUGUCUCCUUGCUGUGUCUUCACAUGAUGGAAGAAGCAAACAAGCUCCCUGAGGCCUCUUUCAUUUUUCUAUUUAAUUUUUUUCAUUUUUAUUUUUAAUUUUUUUAUUUUACUUUAAGUUCUGGGAACAUGCAGGUUUGUUACACAGGUAUACAUGUGCCAUGGUGGUUUGCUGCACCUAUCAACCCAUCAUCUAGGUUUUAAGCCUGGUAUGCAU